AUAAAAUUGUGGAAGCUCAAAAUUUCUCCAAGAGUGAAGAUAUUCCUCUUGUUUCUAAAUAAAGGAAUCAUCUUAACUAGAGAUAACCUGGUACGAUGCAACUGGCAAGGUAGUAAGACAUGUGUAUUUUGCCAACAUGACAAAUCCGUUAAACACUUAAUUUUUGAGUGUAAGUUCGCUCGUGCAGUCUGGACCAUAGUUCAGGUAGUUUCAAAUCUAUAUCCUUCGCAUAGUGCACGUAACAUGUUCGGCAAUUUGUUGCAGGGUAUUGAUAAAUAA
RNAcentral lists this ribosomal RNA (279 nucleotides) under Triticum aestivum (bread wheat). RNAcentral describes it as "partial small subunit ribosomal RNA". The record is from RNAcentral. Lineage: Eukaryota; Viridiplantae; Streptophyta; Magnoliopsida; Poales; Poaceae.